UUCGCCCGGGUACAACGAGCCCCAGCUUAAAACCCAAAGGACUUGGCGGUGCUUUAGACCCCCCUAGAGGAGCCUGUUCUAGAAUCGAUUUUCCCCGUUCAACCUCACCCCCUCUUGUUCUUCCCGCCUGUAUACCGCCGUCGUCAGCUUACCCUGUGAAGGUAAAGUAGUAAGCACAAUUGGCACAGCCCAAAAAGUCAGGUCAAGGUGUAGCGUAUGAGGGGGGAAGAAAUGGGCUACAUUUGCUGACCCAGCAAAUACGGAUGUUGCACUGAAACAAGCAUCUGAAGGAGGAUUUAGUAGUAAGGGGAGAUUAGAGAGCUCCCCUGAAACCGGCCCUGAAGCGCGCACACACCGCCCGUCACUCUCCCCGAUGAACCUAGUAAGAUAAAUAAUAACGCAACAGACACUAAGGGGAGGUAAGUCGUAACAUGGUAAGUUUACCGGAAGGUGAGCUUGGAUUAAACC
This 468-nucleotide ribosomal RNA is filed under the name Zosterisessor ophiocephalus (grass goby). RNAcentral describes it as "partial 12S ribosomal RNA". It matches the Rfam family "Bacterial small subunit ribosomal RNA", at positions 868 to 1529 of the family's 1533-position model. The record is from RNAcentral. Lineage: Eukaryota; Metazoa; Chordata; Actinopteri; Gobiiformes; Gobiidae.